AAAACAUCUUUUCUUGUUUAUUUAUUUGAGAUCUGACCUGCCCAAUGAUAUUUUAAUGGCCGCGGUAUUUUGACCGUGCAAAGGUAGCAUAAUAAUUAGUUUAUUAAUUGUGGACUUGUAUGAAUGGUUGGACGAGAUAUUGACUGUCUCAUAAUUAUUAAUUGAAUUUGAUUUUUUAGUUAAAAAGCUUAAAUUUUAUUGUAAGACGAGAAGACCCUAUAGAUCUUUAUUUGUUAAUUUUUCUUAUUUUUUAGCUUAUUUAUUUAAGUAUUUUUUAUAUUUUUUGUUGGGGUGACAUGGAGAUAAAAUUAACUCUUUAUUUAUUAUACAUUUAUUUUUGAAUUAUUGACCUUAUAUUAUUGUUUUAAGAUGUAGAUACCUUAGGGAUAACAGCGUAAUUUUUUUUGAGAGUUCUUAUCGACAAAGGAGAUUGCGACCUCGAUGUUGGAUUAAGAAUAAGUUAAGGUGUAGGUGCUUUGAUAUUAGGUCUGUUCGACCUUUAAAUUCUUACA
This 512-nucleotide ribosomal RNA is filed under the name Malacomorpha jamaicana. RNAcentral describes it as "partial 16S ribosomal RNA". It matches the Rfam family "Bacterial large subunit ribosomal RNA", at positions 1810 to 2600 of the family's 2925-position model. Lineage: Eukaryota; Metazoa; Arthropoda; Insecta; Phasmatodea; Pseudophasmatidae. The record is from RNAcentral.